This 495-nucleotide ribosomal RNA is filed under the name uncultured bacterium. Its description in RNAcentral is "partial 16S ribosomal RNA". It matches the Rfam family "Bacterial small subunit ribosomal RNA", at positions 28 to 507 of the family's 1533-position model. The record is from RNAcentral.
GAUGAACGCUGGCGGCGUGCCUAAUACAUGCAAGUAGAACGCUGAAGGAGGAGCUUGCUCUUCUGGAUGAGUUGCGAACGGGUGAGUAACGCGUAGGUAACCUGCCUGGUAGCGGGGGAUAACUAUUGGAAACGAUAGCUAAUACCGCAUGACAACAGUUAUUGCAUGAUAACUGUUUAAAAGGGGCAACUGCUCCACUACCAGAUGGACCUGCGUUGUAUUAGCUAGUUGGUGAGGUAACGGCUCACCAAGGCGACGAUACAUAGCCGACCUGAGAGGGUGAUCGGCCACGCUGGGACGGAGACACGGCCCAGACUCCUACGGGAGGCAGCAGUAGGGAACCUUCGGCAAUGGACGGAAGUCUGACCGAGCAACGCCGCGUGAGUGAAGAAGGUUUUCGGAUCGUAAAGCUCUGUUGUAAGAGAAGAACGAGUGUGAGAGUGGAAAGUUCACACUGUGACGGUAUCUUACCAGAAAGGGACGGCUAACUACGUG